RNAcentral lists this ribosomal RNA (1820 nucleotides) under Salmonella enterica. Its description in RNAcentral is "partial 23S ribosomal RNA". It matches the Rfam family "Bacterial large subunit ribosomal RNA", at positions 1154 to 2925 of the family's 2925-position model. The record is from RNAcentral. Lineage: Bacteria; Pseudomonadati; Pseudomonadota; Gammaproteobacteria; Enterobacterales; Enterobacteriaceae.
CGUAUCACCCAAGACAACUUUACGGAGUUGACGAUUGACGGAGCGAAGCGACGUCAAAGCGUUCAUUAAAGUCGAGUUGGCUUAGGGAUACGUUCGUUGGGUAGGGGAGCGUUCUGUAAGCCUGUGAAGGUGGCCUGUGAGGGUUGCUGGAGGUAUCAGAAGUGCGAAUGCUGACAUAAGUAACGAUAAAGCGGGUGAAAAGCCCGCUCGCCGGAAGACCAAGGGUUCCUGUCCAACGUUAAUCGGGGCAGGGUGAGUCGACCCCUAAGGCGAGGCCGAAAGGCGUAGUCGAUGGGAAACGGGUUAAUAUUCCCGUACUUGGUGUUACUGCGAAGGGGGGACGGAGAAGGCUAUGUUGGCCGGGCGACGGUUGUCCCGGUUUAAGCGUGUAGGUGUGUGUUCCAGGUAAAUCCGGUUCACUUUAACACUGAGGCGUGAUGACGAGGCACUACGGUGCUGAAGCAACAAAUGCCCUGCUUCCAGGAAAAGCCUCUAAGCAUCAGGUAACAUCAAAUCGUACCCCAAACCGACACAGGUGGUCAGGUAGAGAAUACCAAGGCGCUUGAGAGAACUCGGGUGAAGGAACUAGGCAAAAUGGUGCCGUAACUUCGGGAGAAGGCACGCUGACACGUAGGUGAAGUGAUUUACUCACGGAGCUGAAGUCAGUCGAAGAUACCAGCUGGCUGCAACUGUUUAUUAAAAACACAGCACUGUGCAAACACGAAAGUGGACGUAUACGGUGUGACGCCUGCCCGGUGCCGGAAGGUUAAUUGAUGGGGUCAGCGCAAGCGAAGCUCCUGAUCGAAGCCCCGGUAAACGGCGGCCGUAACUAUAACGGUCCUAAGGUAGCGAAAUUCCUUGUCGGGUAAGUUCCGACCUGCACGAAUGGCGUAAUGAUGGCCAGGCUGUCUCCACCCGAGACUCAGUGAAAUUGAACUCGCUGUGAAGAUGCAGUGUACCCGCGGCAAGACGGAAAGACCCCGUGAACCUUUACUAUAGCUUGACACUGAACAUUGAGCCUUGAUGUGUAGGAUAGGUGGGAGGCUUUGAAGUGUGGACGCCAGUCUGCAUGGAGCCGACCUUGAAAUACCACCCUUUAAUGUUUGAUGUUCUAACGUGGACCCGUGAUCCGGGUUGCGGACAGUGUCUGGUGGGUAGUUUGACUGGGGCGGUCUCCUCCUAAAGAGUAACGGAGGAGCACGAAGGUUGGCUAAUCCUGGUCGGACAUCAGGAGGUUAGUGCAAUGGCAUAAGCCAGCUUGACUGCGAGCGUGACGGCGCGAGCAGGUGCGAAAGCAGGUCAUAGUGAUCCGGUGGUUCUGAAUGGAAGGGCCAUCGCUCAACGGAUAAAAGGUACUCCGGGGAUAACAGGCUGAUACCGCCCAAGAGUUCAUAUCGACGGCGGUGUUUGGCACCUCGAUGUCGGCUCAUCACAUCCUGGGGCUGAAGUAGGUCCCAAGGGUAUGGCUGUUCGCCAUUUAAAGUGGUACGCGAGCUGGGUUUAGAACGUCGUGAGACAGUUCGGUCCCUAUCUGCCGUGGGCGCUGGAGAACUGAGGGGGGCUGCUCCUAGUACGAGAGGACCGGAGUGGACGCAUCACUGGUGUUCGGGUUGUCAUGCCAAUGGCACUGCCCGGUAGCUAAAUGCGGAAGAGAUAAGUGCUGAAAGCAUCUAAGCACGAAACUUGCCCCGAGAUGAGUUCUCCCUGAGACUUAGAGUCUCCUGAAGGAACGUUGAAGACGACGACGUUGAUAGGCCGGGUGUGUAAGCGCAGCGAUGCGUUGAGCUAACCGGUACUAAUGAACCGUGAGGCUUAACCUU